This is a long non-coding RNA of Vigna unguiculata (cowpea), 153 nucleotides long. The record is from RefSeq and is a predicted model, not a curated record. Lineage: Eukaryota; Viridiplantae; Streptophyta; Magnoliopsida; Fabales; Fabaceae.
GGAACUCAUCCUCAAGCUGAGCCAUCUCCCCUUCCGCCCCUUAGGUUGAGGACUUGAGGUGCCCUUGUGUUAGAGCCUUGCUUGUGGUGUUUUUUUUUAAAGAGCCUAGCCCAGUUGAUGAUGCCCCCCUUCAGAGCAGGAACUGACCUCUCU